UACGUAGGGGCGAGCGUUGUCCGGAAUGAUUGGGCGUAAAGGGCGCGUAGGCGGCUUAGCAAGUCUGGAGUGAAAGUCCUAUUUUCAAGGUAGGAAUUGCUUUGGAAACUGUUGAGCUUGAGUGCAGGAGAGGUUAUCGGAAUUCCCGGUGUAGCGGUGAAAUGCGUAGAGAUAUGGAGGAACACCAGUGGCGAAGGCGGCUUCCUGGUCUGUAACUGACACUGAGGCGCGAAAGCGUGGGGAGCAAACAGGAUUAGAUACCCCGGUAGUCCCUGA
Molecule: ribosomal RNA, 276 nt
Filed under: uncultured prokaryote
Description: partial 16S ribosomal RNA
Rfam family: Bacterial small subunit ribosomal RNA
Source: RNAcentral